UACGUAGGGAGCAAGCGUUGUCCGGAAUCAUUGGGCGUAAAGCGCGCGUAGGCGGCCCUGUAAGUCCGCUGUGAAAGUCAAAGGCUCAACCUUUGAAAGCCGGUGGAUACUGCAGGGCUAGAGUCCGGAAGAGGCGAGUGGAACUCCUGGUGUAGCGGUGGAAUGCGCAGAUAUCAGGAAGAACACCAACGGCGAAGGCAGCUCGCUGGGACGGUACUGACGCUGAGGUGCGAAAGCGUGGGGAGCGAACAGG
Molecule: ribosomal RNA, 253 nt
Filed under: uncultured bacterium
Lineage: Bacteria
Description: partial 16S ribosomal RNA
Rfam family: Bacterial small subunit ribosomal RNA
Source: RNAcentral